This 1277-nucleotide long non-coding RNA is filed under the name Ananas comosus (pineapple). Its description in RNAcentral is "long non-coding RNA (ACOM_LNC004061)". Lineage: Eukaryota; Viridiplantae; Streptophyta; Magnoliopsida; Poales; Bromeliaceae. The record is from RNAcentral.
UCAACAAAACAUCUUAGCUGCAUUUUAUUUGGGUAUUAGUAAGAACUGCUUAUGUUAAAGAUAGGUACAAGUUCAUGUAUAAGCAGUAACUAGACUAAUUUUAUAUUUAGAUGAAAAUUGAGUUGUUUCUAGAAAUAGGAAAAAUAGUGUUUGGAUGAUUAUAUUGUAAUAAAGGAAAUAAGAGUUAUCAUUUUAAAGUGAAUAAGAGUUAAAUUAAAAUUAUUUUAUUUAAUUAAUUAACAUCAAAAUAUUACUUAAAAAUAAUAAAUUAAUAUUAAUAAUUAUAAAUAAUAAAUUAGUUAAAUAAUAAUAAAUGAAAUAAUAAAUUGUAAACAAUUAUAAAUAAUAAAUUAUUAGCAAUUAUAAAUUAUAAAUUAAUUAAUUAACAAUAAAUAAUUAUAAAUUAUAAAUUAUUAAUUAAUAAAAUUUUAUUAUUAAAAAUAAAUUAAUUAGAUAAUAUAGUCUAAAUAAAAUAAUAAUAAUUCUAAAUAAUAAAAUUAGUUUAAUAAUUAUAAAUAAUAAAUAAAUAAAUAAUUAAUAAUAAAGUCAAUAAAAAUUAUAAAUUACUAAUUAAUAAUAAAUUACAAAUAAGAAUUAUUAAUAAUUAUAAAUAAUAAAUUAUUAAUAAUUAUAAAUAAUAAUUAUUUAAUUAAUAAUAAAAUUAUUAAUUAAUUAAUUAUUAAUAAUUAUAAAAAUAAUAUAUUAAUAAAUAUAAAUUAAAUAAUUAAUAAUAGUAAAUUCUUAAUAAUUAUUAUAAUAAAUUAUUAAUAAUUAUAUUACAAAUUAAUUAAUUAAUUAAUUAAUUAAUUUUAAUUAAUUAAUAAGAAAUUAAAUAGUUAAUUAUUAAAUAAAUUAAUACUAAUAAAUUAAUGAUAAAUUAGUUAAUUAUAAAUUAAUAAAAUAACCAAUUAAUUAUAAAUUAAUAAAUAAAUUAAGUAAUUAUUAAUAAUUAUAAAUAAUAAUAAUUUAAUUAAUAAUUAUAAAUAAUAAAUUAAUAAAUUGUUUUAUUAUUUAAGCAAUAAAUAAUAAUUUAAAAAUAAUAAUUAAAUUAAUUAAUUAUUUAAUAUCAUAAUUAAAAUUAUUUUUAGACUUUAAUUAACUUUAUUCUCACCAGGGAAUAAGGUUGUUCAAGGAAAAAGGUGGAACAAUAGUUCCGAUAUUAUACUGGGUUAUUCCAAAAAUCUGAGAGCUACUGUUCUCGGAUACUUAACACAGCAUUUGGGAACAAAGGGAAAAACAAGAGCUUAUUCCAUUCCUUGUUCACGAACCAAACACUA